Molecule: long non-coding RNA, 1665 nt
Organism: Cyprinus carpio (common carp)
Lineage: Eukaryota; Metazoa; Chordata; Actinopteri; Cypriniformes; Cyprinidae
Source: Ensembl
AUGGAAUCAUUCAAAGAGCAAAUGCUUUGCUUUGUUACAUGGAAUAUUUGUGGGCGAAAAAAAAUAAGCCCACUCGUUGACAGUUUGUCAAAGAAUCUAGGGGCAGAAAUAAUAUUUUUGCAAGAGACAAAAAUUGGACCUGGAGAUGAGAGAGAAAAGCUUGAUGGCUGGAAAUGUUUCUUCACUGUCUAUGAUUCCCAUAGCAAAGGAGUGGCCAUUUUAAUAAAAGAUGGUGUAUCAUUUCAGUACAUAUGUCAUGAUGAGGAUUAUGGUGGAGAAUAUCUUGUACUAUUCUGUCGUCUCCAUGGUGAGCUGUUCACUCUUGUUAAUGUAUACAAACACAAAGAUGACAAAGAUGUCUUGAACAUACUGGCAGAUUACUUGAGAGAAACAGCUGAUGGGGUGCUUGUGAUUGGAGGUGAUUUCAACACAGUUCUGGACCUUAGCUUUGAUCGAAACUGCAUAGCAAAAAAGCUAAAGGAUACACCAUCAAAGGACACAUUUGAAAAAUUCACAGUCUCUCUAAAUCUUAUGGAUGCAUGGGCAUACUUUUGCCCAACAGUCAAGAAAUUUACAUAUUCUCAGAAUAAAAGUCAGUCUAGAUUAGACAUGUUUCUUCUUUGUGAAGAGGAUUUAGAGCGAAUAAAUGAUGUACACAUUUAUGAAGCUGAAAGUAUAGUGGCUACACCAAGUAAGAAAAAGUAUACUUCAGAUCAUUCUCCCUUAGUGAUUCAUCUCAAAAUGAAAGAACAAUCUACCAAUGAUGUGCCAAAUGUUGCUUCAUGGUCUGGGGACAUUAGAUUCUGCAAAGAACCAGACAGAAGAGAUGGAAAGAUAAAUGGGCCAGAAAUACUGCGCGUGAUCAAGUCUUUAACUGACUCUGGGAACCAACGACCUGAUACAAUAAGCAUACGAACAUACAAGAAAUACUGUUGUCCAUUAACAGAGGUCUUAAAAAUAUAUUUCAAUUAUUGGAUGAAACACCAGCAGCUACCUCAAAAUUUCAAUUCAUUUUACAGUGCAUCUGAUGGUAGAAAACAUUUCAAUGUGGAUUAUUUGAUUUUCACUACGAUUCUGGCCAAACGCCUCAAUAUACUAAAGACAUCCUCUGAGAAACAGAGCCAAGCAUACAGAACCAAAAGAAAAUGUUACUGUGUGACCUUUUUAAAACCACAGAAAAUUAAAUGGACCUUCUUAACAAGCAGCCUCUCAUACCAUCUCAGAAGUUAUAUAAAGUCCCAACAAAAGUUGAAAAAAGUAAUGAAAAGUACAAAAAAAUCUAAUGAAAAGCCUAAAGAAAAAUCUCCAAAAAUGAAUGUCUCCCUCCUGAAAGGUUUAGUUGAUAGAGAUGCAGAUUCAACAAAGGAAAAAAGUAUUUUAAAGAUUAUUCUCCCUAAAGCCAGCGAUCCUUCAGAUGACUUCAGAGAAUUACAAGACGGCUGUCCACUCACUAGAUCAAUCCUCAGUUUGGUCCUGAAAUAUCUGGAAAUUCAAAUAGGAAGGAAAGGCUACAUAGCUCAUAUCUGCCACUUUAGACAAGCUUUAGUCAUACAUAAAUACUCUAAGAGUGUAUUGAAAGAACUGAAAAAACAAUGUAAGAGGUUCAAGAGAGAUUCUGGGAUUAAACUAAAAAUUUUUGAAAUCAUUUUAAAAUCAAAAGUUUGA